CUGGCUUUAAGUUACGUUUUGGUCGACCAAAUGAUAAAUCUACAAUUUAUAAUCGAUUUGUACAUCAAAAUUUCAUAAAUAUGUAAACUAAUUCCUCUGCACCGCUUAUAAUACAAGUUAUCCUUAACUCCCGAUGAAAUGUCUGAUGUGGAGCAAGAAGCCUCUGGAUACGUGGAUAAUGAGCAAAAUGAAGGACAAGAAGCCGCAGAAGAUAUUGAGGAAGAGGGCGAAGACGACGAACAGUAUGUUGAAGAGGAGGACGAGUUCGAGGUGGAGGAGAAGGAUCCCUUUGAGCUCCUCAAUGAGAGCGAUGAGGACGAUGAAGAGCAACAGGCAAUGUACAAGGAGUAUCAGGAGGUGGUCAACGCUAUUGAUGCCCAGAACAGGAUUAUAAAAGAGCUCAAGGCAAAAUCCAAUCGACUGCUGUUCAAGAAGUGCAAGACUUAUAGAGACAAGCAGGAAUACAAACAACUUAGGGUCUGCCAGGAGCAUGAGGAGAUCCACUUAAAGGUCCUCGUGAAUAGAGCCAUGCACCUCCAAAACUUCGGUUCACCUAGGCGCUACAGAGAUAUAGAAAUGGAAGUCACAGAAGACGAGCAUGGCUACUUCUAUACAGAACUACAAUCAACCUUCUCAGGCUUUUGUCCCACAAAUUCGGCUGACGAAUAUGAGUCGGAUUCUGAAUCGGAUAAUGGGCUAUGUUGUACCUAGUCCAAAGUUUUUCGGUUUUUCGGCAUAUUGACGGCGAAAAGUUAUGAAAAUAAUUAAAUAAGUGUGGCAUUUCCGCCACAUCACUCUGGGCACCACAUAUCUACGACACUGCACUCAAAAAGGGGAAAGGCUGCAGGGAAUUUCUUUUAGCUUGGUUUUAUAGUUGUGAGUCGAGCGGGGAAAGUGUAGUGCAAUAGCAAUGAGCGCAAAAACAAGACGAUUGUGCCCCCAGACAGAAUGAGGGGAUCAAAGCAAAACAGCCAUAAACAAAUAACCAAAGAGGCACAGAAAGACGCCAGUAGAGCAGAAUGAAUCGAAUCGAAACGAACUGAAUUGAACCAAAACUUCUCUCGAUGAUUUCUUCGUUCCUCCUUCUUUUAUUAUGCCUCAAUUCUCACUCUCCGCCAAGUGCCACGCCCAUUGCGGCGCUUAAUGGGGAACACGUGAUAGCUUGACGUUUUCUACACAACU
RNA transcript from Drosophila mauritiana, 1182 nucleotides. It is a transcript of the gene named pescadillo homolog, with no coding region annotated. The record is from RefSeq and is a predicted model, not a curated record. Lineage: Eukaryota; Metazoa; Arthropoda; Insecta; Diptera; Drosophilidae. The transcript is spliced from 2 exons.